GACGAACGCUGGCGGCGUGCUUAACACAUGCAAGUCGAACGGAAAGGCCUCUUUCGGGGGGUACUCGAGUGGCGAACGGGUGAGUAACACGUGAGUAACCUGCCCUUGACUUUGGGAUAACUUCAGGAAACUGGGGCUAAUACCGGAUAGGAGCUCCUGCUGCAUGGUGGGGGUUGGAAAGUUUCGGCGGUUGGGGAUGGACUCGCGGCUUAUCAGCUUGUUGGUGGGGUAGUGGCUUACCAAGGCUUUGACGGGUAGCCGGCCUGAGAGGGUGACCGGCCAACUGGGGCCUGAGAAAGGGCCCAGACCCCUACGGGGGGAAGCGGUGGGAAAUAUUGCAAAAUGGGGGGAACCCUGAUGAAGCACCGCCGGGUGCGGGAUGACGGCCUUCGGGUUGUAAACCCUUUUCGCUCAUGACGAAGCUUUUUGUGACGGUAGUGGGAAAAAGAGCACCGGCAAACUCCGU
Molecule: ribosomal RNA, 466 nt
Filed under: uncultured bacterium
Lineage: Bacteria
Description: partial 16S ribosomal RNA
Rfam family: Bacterial small subunit ribosomal RNA
Source: RNAcentral